AUUGAACGUUGGCGGCAGGCUUAACACAUGCAAGUCGAGCGGGGUGAUGGUGCUUGCACUAUCACUUAGCGGCGGACGGGUGAGUAAUGCUUAGGAAUCUGCCUAUUAGUGGGGGACAACAUCUCGAAAGGGAUGCUAAUACCGCAUACGUCCUACGGGAGAAAGCAGGGGAUCACUUGUGACCUUGCGCUAAUAGAUGAGCCUAAGUCGGAUUAGCUAGUUGGUGGGGUAAAGGCCUACCAAGGCGACGAUCUGUAGCGGGUCUGAGAGGAUGAUCCGCCACACUGGGACGGAGACACGGCCCAGACUCCUACGGGAGGCAGCAGUGGGGAAUAUUGGACAAUGGGGGGAACCCUGAUCCAGCCAUGCCGCGUGUGCGAAGAAGGCCUUAUGGUUGUAAAGCACUUUAAGCGAGGAGGAGGCUCUUUUGGUUAAUACCCAAGAUGAGUGGACGUUACUCGCAGAAUAAGCACCGGCUAACUCUGUGCCAGCAGCCGCUGUAA
Molecule: ribosomal RNA, 503 nt
Filed under: uncultured bacterium
Lineage: Bacteria
Description: partial 16S ribosomal RNA
Rfam family: Bacterial small subunit ribosomal RNA
Source: RNAcentral